This is a small nucleolar RNA of Mustela putorius furo (domestic ferret), 72 nucleotides long. Its record names the gene SNORD73. It matches the Rfam family "Small nucleolar RNA SNORD73". From Rfam's summary of the family: U73 is a member of the C/D class of snoRNA which contain the C (UGAUGA) and D (CUGA) box motifs. U73 is encoded within the introns of ribosomal protein S3a and contains a 12nt region of complementarity to a conserved sequence in 28S ribosomal RNA. Lineage: Eukaryota; Metazoa; Chordata; Mammalia; Carnivora; Mustelidae. The record is from Ensembl.
AAUAGAUGAUGACAAGAUGUUUCGGUCCCAGAUGAUGUCCACUGAUAAAACUGUUAACAUUUUUCUGAUGUU